AUGCAGGGGAACGAGGCGAAGGCGACUCCGGGGAUUGUAGACGAUGGGAAGCUCGGGAACGGCAGUUGCAUUCACCGCAGCGGAUGGCCGGCGUCGGUAAGGAUGGAGCCGAGGCCAUGGUGGAUCCGCCGACGAACUGAGAUAAGGGAGAGAUGCGCCGGGGAGUGGGUGGAGCAGUGGUGGUGGAGAGAGAGGGAGGGGAUGCUUGGCUCGCUCGAAUUCGAGCAGAGGCCAUCGGCGGCCAAGGCGGCCAUUGGAAGGGAGAAGAGGCUCUCGGGCUCCGGUGAGAGGCUGGGGAGGGCUAGUGGAGUGUGA
RNAcentral lists this ribosomal RNA (315 nucleotides) under Triticum aestivum (bread wheat). Its description in RNAcentral is "partial small subunit ribosomal RNA". Lineage: Eukaryota; Viridiplantae; Streptophyta; Magnoliopsida; Poales; Poaceae. The record is from RNAcentral.